This 95-nucleotide ribosomal RNA is filed under the name uncultured bacterium. RNAcentral's name for it is "partial 16S ribosomal RNA". It matches the Rfam family "Bacterial small subunit ribosomal RNA", at positions 1388 to 1482 of the family's 1533-position model. The record is from RNAcentral.
CACCGCCCGUCACAUCACGAAAGUGGGUUGCACUAGAAGUCUCCAGGCUAACCGCAAGGAGGCAGGGGCCCAAGGUGUGACUCAUGAUUGGGGUG